Molecule: ribosomal RNA, 251 nt
Filed under: uncultured prokaryote
Description: partial 16S rRNA
Rfam family: Bacterial small subunit ribosomal RNA
Source: RNAcentral
ACGUAGGUGGCAAGCGUUGUCCGGAUUUAUUGGGCGUAAAGCGAGCGCAGGCGGUUUCUUAAGUCUGAUGUGAAAGCCUUCGGCUCAACCGAAGAAGUGCAUCGGAAACUGGGAAACUUGAGUGCAGAAGAGGACAGUGGAACUCCAUGUGUAGCGGUGAAAUGCGUAGAUAUAUGGAAGAACACCAGUGGCGAAGGCGCCUAACUGGAACGAACCUGACGGUGAGUAACGAAAGCCAGGGGCGCGAACCG